GCCUGGGUGGUUCAGUCGGUUGAGCAUUUGACUUCAGCUCAGGUCAUGAUCUCAUGGUUCGUGGGUUCAAGCCCCGCAUGGGGCU
Non-coding RNA from Felis catus (domestic cat), 85 nucleotides. The record is from Rfam. Lineage: Eukaryota; Metazoa; Chordata; Mammalia; Carnivora; Felidae.